RNAcentral lists this ribosomal RNA (372 nucleotides) under uncultured organism. RNAcentral describes it as "bacterial SSU rRNA". It matches the Rfam family "Bacterial small subunit ribosomal RNA", at positions 527 to 897 of the family's 1533-position model. The record is from RNAcentral.
GUAGGGGACGAGCGUUGUCCGGAUUCAUUGGGCGUAAAGCGCGCGUAGGCGGCUCGGAAAGUCGGUCGUGAAAUGCCGGGGCUCAACCCCGGGACUGCGUCCGAUACUUCCGGGCUGGAGGUAGUAGGGGAGAUCGGAAUUCCUGGUGUAGCGGUGAAAUGCGCAGAUAUCAGGAGGAACACCGGUGGCGAAGGCGGAUCUCUGGGCCUUACCUGACGCUGAGGCGCGAAAGCUAGGGGAGCGAACAGGAUUAGAUACCCUGGUAGUCCUAGCCGUAAACGUUGGGUGCUAGGUGUGGGCGGACAUCGACCCCGUCCGUGCCGAAGCUAACGCAUUAAGCACCCCGCCUGGGGAGUACGGCCGCAAGGCUAA